GGAAUAUUGCACAAUGGGGGAAACCCUGAUGCAGCGACGCCGCGUGAGCGAAGAAGUAUUUCGGUAUGUAAAACUCUAUCAGCAAGGAAGAUAAUGACGGUACUUGACUAAGAAGCUCCGGCUAAAUACGUGCCAGCAGCCGCGGUAAUACGUAUGGUGCAAGCGUUAUCCGGAUUUACUGGGUGUAAAGGGAGCGUAGGCGGUCUGCCAAGUCUGAUGUGAAAACCCGGGGCUCAACCCCGGGAGUGCAUUGGAAACUGGCGGACUGGAGUGUCGGAGAGGUAAGCGGAAUUCCUAGUGUAGCGGUGAAACGCGUAGAUAUUAGGAGGAACACCAGUGGCGAAGGCGGCUUACUGGACGAUAACUGACGCUGAGGCUCGAAAGCGUGGGGAGCAAAC
RNAcentral lists this ribosomal RNA (398 nucleotides) under uncultured bacterium. RNAcentral describes it as "bacterial SSU rRNA". It matches the Rfam family "Bacterial small subunit ribosomal RNA", at positions 358 to 773 of the family's 1533-position model. The record is from RNAcentral.